CAAGAAUGGAGGCGGAGAUUGCAUGAGCUUUCGAUACGAGACACUGAACGUUCAUUGCCUGGUGCUUCAGAGCUCACUGCAAGUAGACCAUGGAGAUGUUCAUGAGGAGGCGCAGCCUGUUCGACUCGACCUCACUUCGGAAAGGUUCUCGAGGAAGUGGUAACAUGGAGGUGGUUCUAACCAAGAUUUGUUCAUUAGAAAAUGUUUGUGAACAAAUGAAUUAUGCCAAGCACGCUGCCAGCAAUGCGGAAGUAUCUAAAUCGUGCCUCCCUGAUAUAAUGGAGGCAAAUGAGGCCCUUGUUCAUAGCUUGAUGAAGCGCAGGUCUCAGGACUCUGGAUUGGAAUUGCCGAACCUUGACUGUGCUUUGUCAGCACUCGAGUCAUCAGAAGGCAUGUCCGACAUGCAGGAGCACCACAAAGCUCUGGAACUGCCAGCUUCUGAUGUGGCUGAUGUGCUUGAUGGAGAUUCUGAUGGAGACUCAUCAACUUCCCAAACAAACAGCCCUGCAAAAAUGACAUCAGAAACGCAAGAACCAGAGGACAGAGGAACACCGACGUCUCCUGCUGAUUCUGAUCAGCAGGACGUAGCAGGGGAAGGAGAAGACUGCAAUGAGAAGCAGCAACAGACUGUGGGUGGAGCAAGCAGCAAAAGGCUGUCAUUUCAACAAACCCAGCAGGAUUGGUGCGAUCUGGAAAGAAAAUGGGAUGAUUUUGCACAAAAGCAGAGGCAACGCAAACAGAUCAAGCCUGGAAAUCAUCUGGGCUCGGGCAUGGAACAUUUGGAUCAGCUCUGCCGCCUGAUGGAAAGGCUGGGAGAGUUGCAGGAUGGUAACAAGAGGCUGCGACAUGAGAUGCACAAUCUUAAAGUCCAGCUGCAUGUCUCACAAAGCCAGCAAGAUGCAAUGGUGGCACAAUGCAGCUGCGCUGCCCACAAGCUUGAUCAUCUGCAAGGAAGGAGCAAGACGACAUGUCGUUAUCGCUCACAUUCUGAGACCGAGGUGCACAACAUGGACAAGAAAAAUGGCCUCAAAGGAUUGUAUUCACGAAGCAGCUCUUUGAACAGGGCAUUUCAAAAACCAUUGGGCUCCAAGCUUUGCCUGAGCAAAUCACGCUUAAAGGUGAGGACACUUAAUCUUGAAAUAUUGCGGAACAUGUUACAGAUGAAACUUCUGUGAAAGAUUAUUUUACCUGUUUGUUUUUUGCUUACUUGCUCCUUAACUACAAAGUGACGUUUUAUGCACUUUUUCACCCCUCCCCCUUUCCUUCUAUACUAUUCCUUCCUCCUCUUUGUUCCAACCCAUUCUACAUUUUGUUGCAGUUUCAGUUUUGAGGCACAUCCAGUCACUUGAUUUGGCAUCUCUGUUGAUCAGAAUGUUUUUUACUUCUGCUGUGACAAACAAUAGAAAUUGGCAAGAGGUCACCAAGUCUGAUUUAUGGAGUUCCUGAGUGGCUAUAAUGGUCAUCUAUCAUGCUUGUUGCCUCGUUUGUACAUUGAAACGGUUUCAUUCUGUUAGAUUGUAGUGCUUUGGAUGUGUACUUCAAGAUCACUGCAAGAACAGAAGUUGUGGUUUUUUUUGGACAGAAAGGGCAGGAAAUAAAUACCAUAUCUAGAGUAUUUGAAAGGACAUAUGAGGUAACGCUAUUGAGACUAUAUAGCAGAGUACGGUUUAAGAAGCUUGAACUGAUAUGCAGGAUAAUGUAUGAAUGCUGAAACUGUAUAAGCUAUUACACCAAAGAUUAUUUACUAUUGUGUUGGACUUAAUGGUACAGGACACGUUUCAGGUAAGGUGACUGUCUCGUGUAUCCCUUGUUUUAAACAUGUCAUUAAAAUUUAUCACUUUGCUGUGAGAUAAGUAGUUUUUUUAAAAUUCAUAUUAUUAUUAUUAUUAUUGUCAUUAUUAGAAUUCUUAGCUUGACCAAACCAGGAGAUAUGCUUUAGCUCAUUUGGAAUUUUUUUUUACUAUUGAGAGAAAGGUUUUUUGGGGAAAUGGAUAAAUUAAUACUCAUCAAGAAAAUGUUUAAUGGGGUGUAAUGACUUGUUACAAAAUUGUGGCUUUCAACCUUUAUCGAUACAGAUGCAUUUUAUUCAAACUACAUCUGUAGAAGCUGUAACUACUUUUUGAAAUUGAUGGUGCUAUUGUUAAGAAUGCACAGCAACUUUGUGCUUUUAUUUUUUGGUACAUUUUUUUCAACCAAAUGUUGCCAGCACAAGCUAUUGGUGCUCAUGACUUGAACAGUUCUUGAAGCCAUCAAAAAAAGCAACCACUUGAUGUGCAAUAUAUGAUGUACAGUAUAUUAUUUUUGAUUUAUAAAUAAAGUAUGCUGAUGAAGAUACAGUUGCAUUUUUAUUUGGUACUAGCAAAUACAACCUGUCAUUAUGCUGACAGGGAUAUAAAGGGGAGGGGGGAGAGGAGAGGAUGGAGGGAGGAAGGGAAGAGAGAGAGAGAGAGAGAGAGAGAGAGAGAGAGGGGGGGGGGGGGGGGGGGGGGGGGGGGGGGGGGGGGGGGGGGGGGAGAGAGUAAAGAGGGGAGGGAGGGGAGAGGAGCUAGGAAGGGGAAAAGAGUGAGUAAGGGGAGGGGGUGGGGAAGAGUGACACCUUACCAAAUGUUGCUCUGCAUUGCAGGAUGGUAGGGUGCGAAGAGGAAGUGAGACAGAGACAGAGACUGAGAGAGGAGGGGGGAGGGGUGGUGGGAGGAGGAGGAAAAAAAGAGAUAGGUGAGGGGUGGAGGUUAGCAAAGAGAAUCAUAUGUUAUGCUUAAUGACCGAACACACACGCACAAAAAAAUAAAAACAACUCAUGUCAGAACAGCUGUACACACAACGACACAACAGAGUUUGUAAAGAAAUCCGCUGGCACAUCUGCAAAAAAUUUGAUACCCCAGUUCCAGAAAAUUCGUGGGAACAUGAACCAAAAGCAAUCACUGAAAACAUGGAAGUACGGUUCACGUACAACCUCAUGAUCCCAUUGAGCGUGACCAUCAUAAACAAAGCAUUGUAACCAGAAAUCAUACUUAAGCACAAAAAAGAGAGAAGAAGGCAUUGCUGAUUGAGGUGUUAAUACCAGUGAUUUUGGACUAAACGAUGCAGAAAUCAAUAAAAUGACCAAAUACUGAGACAUCAAGAAAGAAGUGAAAAGAUCCUGGAAGUUGAAGAAUGCCAAAGUUGGACCAGUGAUGGAUUGAGAUACGGGAAUGAUGAUGAAGAAUGUCACAUAGAUAUUCAAAACCAUCCCUGGUAAUAUUAUUACAAAUGAACUGCAGUUGGAAGCUGUCCGGGGCUCAGCGACGAUCCUGAAGAGAGCCCUCGGCACAAAAAUUUGAGAAAAGAAAACUUCACAGCUUGGUCUAUGAAGCGUGACCCCUUUCUGAAAUGGAAGUGGAUACUUUGAGCCCGCCCUGCAAGGACUCCAUUCCUAGAUGUAGAUACCAAUCAAUGACACACACACACACACACACACACACACACACACACACACACACACACACACACACAAAUUUUGAGACCGGAUAGGUCUCUGUUUCACCUCAUGAAACCCACCCACCACAUGGGGAGAUAGCAGGAAACAACAUCAACUUGCAUGCACACGCAGAUGCUUUGAAACCUGGGGCGUGAGCAUUUAAAACCCAUGCUAUCUUCCUGGCAAAGGUCUGCCUGCAUGCAUGCAUGCUCGUGCAUGCAGCGACCAUUGCACCCCACUGGUUGGCUUAUUCCAAAUCUGAUUCAUAAAUGCUCGUCACCUCAACAGAGAGGGAAGGUUGGGGAGCUGGGUGAGGGGUGGGAGAGAAAGCAAGAAGUUGGGUUCGGAAAGAAGGAAAGGAGUGGGAAUCUGCUGGAGUCAGAUGUGAUGCCCAGUUAAUCAUCCAUCCGAGAGAUGGUACACAUGUCACCCUGCCUGUGAAACACCGGGAUGAAAGUUUAUAGCUUGGUUGGGAUUUGAAUCCAGACUACACAGAGUAAGCAUGCAUACCUCUCGGCUUUCUCGCCAUGGUGCGGUGAUUCAUUAUUUUAUAACUGAAAAUAUUUUUUGCACAUUGUUAUCAAAUCAUUUAUUUUGCCUUCCUACUUCGGGUAUAGAACCUCAGUUGCACCAUUGAAAUGUGCGCCAAGCAAAAUGAUUGAAGAAGCUUUUAAAAGGAAGUGUUUAAUUUUUAUUUGUAUUUAUCUAUGUCAAAGUGAUGGGUCAAAAAUGGAAGAUCAUACAAAAAGUUGAAAUGUCGUGGAAAAUAAAAUUUCACAUUUUCAGUGAGCUUGCCUGUUGCAUCGCAGAACAACACGUGGUGAAGAACGUAUGCGAGUGACCCCUUAACUUUGUUCAAAUUGAUCUACAUACAGUAUUCAGUGACAGUGUGAAUAUUGCAGAGCACUGGCUUAAGCACUUCAACGAAAUGGUUGAUAAGAAACAGCUCACUUUGCAGGCAAUUAGCAAACAUCCAAACUGUCAUUUUAAACAUACACUUCCCGGAGAUGCCCGAAAUGUCAAAUAUGUCCGAAUUGGACAAAUGAAGACUUUUUAGGAGUCGGAGCUGCUUGGAAGUUCGAUUCUGCAACUUAAAUUUUGUAAUUCUGCUUAGUUUAAGAGAAACUCAUAGUGAUUGCAUGUGCAAAAAUGAAAUAAAGCCACCAAUGCUGACGUCUCUGGACGUUUAUAAGCAUUGAACUGUAACCAGUGAUUCGUAGCUAUGAUGAACAGGCAUUCGAUAAUAAGAGUGAGGAAAGUGAAAAAAACAAAACUUUACCAUUAAGAAAUAGUUGCGGCCUAUUUCAAGUUAGGGCAUGGUUGAGCAGGCCAAAAUAUGGUGGCUUCAGACCCCAGCAAGGUUACCUGAGAUACACCUUAAGACCCCAUAGAGAGUGGUGACCAAGGAUGUGCCUGAUAAAAGGAUUUAAUUAAAUAAGGCCGUUAUUAUAAAAGAGGUGUUUUCAUUAACCCAAAUAUCCAAUUUUCACUAAUGCACUUCCUUGGAAUUUUCUUAGUAUGCAGGCAAAGUUUCAGACUGCUAGGUUUCAUGGUCUUGUAGUAAAUGGAGGAG
Molecule: long non-coding RNA, 5030 nt
Organism: Eptatretus burgeri (inshore hagfish)
Lineage: Eukaryota; Metazoa; Chordata; Myxini; Myxiniformes; Myxinidae
Source: Ensembl